RNAcentral lists this transfer RNA (92 nucleotides) under Actinoplanes campanulatus. RNAcentral's name for it is "tRNA-Glu". The record is from RNAcentral. Lineage: Bacteria; Bacillati; Actinomycetota; Actinomycetes; Micromonosporales; Micromonosporaceae.
AGGCCGGAGGCGAUCAGGGCGCCGCGGCCGGUCUCGUUGGCCUCACCGAAGGCGUUCGCGAUGUUGGCGGCGAUCGAGUUGCCGCCGUUCUC